RNAcentral lists this ribosomal RNA (440 nucleotides) under uncultured bacterium. Its description in RNAcentral is "partial 16S ribosomal RNA". It matches the Rfam family "Bacterial small subunit ribosomal RNA", at positions 338 to 795 of the family's 1533-position model. The record is from RNAcentral.
CCUACGGGAGGCAGCAGUUGGGAAUAUUGCACAAUGGGGGAAACCCUGAUGCAGCGACGCCGCGUGAGUGAAGAAGUAUCUCGGUACGUAAAGCUCUAUCAGCAGGGAAGAAAAUGACGGUACCUGUCACAGAAGCCCCGGCUAACUACGGGACAGCAGCCGCGGUAAUACGUAGGGGGAAAGCGUUAUCCGGAUUGACUGGGUGUAAAGGGAGGGUAGACUGCAGCACAAGUAUGGAGUGAAAUCCCGGGGCUUAACCCCGGAACUGCUUUGGAUACUGGUCGGCUGGAGUGCAGGAGAGGUAAGCGGAAUUCCGAGUGUAGCGGUGAAAUGCGUAGAGAUGAGGAGGAACACCGGUGGCGAAGGCGGCUUACUGGACUGUAACUGACGUUGAGGCUCGAAAGCGUGGGGAGCAAACAGGAUUAGAUACCCUUGUAGUC